CACCUAUGGGCUCAUACUUCACCGAGCUUCGUCGUCUCCAGCCGGGCAAUCUUCUGCCCUAAUAAUCUACCACCGUUUCGCCGUCCGUCGCCGGCGAAGUUCGCCGUCUCCGGCGAUCAAUGUUUUGAUAUUCAGGAAAUAGAGUGAAAAUUCGCGCAGUCCGGGCAACGAGAACUCCAAUUCUUCGAAUAUCUCAUCGUUUUCGAACAGAUUAUGCUCAUUGAUGGCUCGCUUGUGACGAAAUGCCUCCAGAUGACUAUGUUAGUAUUUCAGCCGCUCUCUCUGCUUGUGCUAAUUUGCCUGCACAACAUCAUGGAAAAGAGAUUCAUGGUUUCAUUACGAAACAUCAAAUUGCUGAUGUUCAUGCCGAGAGUGCCUUGAUACUUGAUAGACAUGUAUGCUAAGUGUGGAAACCUUGAUUCUGCUAGACACAUGUUUGAGAUGAUGAGAGAAAAGAAUGAAGUUUCGUGGAAUAGCAUCAUUGCUAAAAGAUGCCCUCUUUCUAUUCCAUAAAAUGGUUGAGAAUGGAAUUCAGCCUGAUCAAAACACUUUUCUGGCAAUAAUAUCUGCAUGUGGUCAUGUCGGAGCUGUUGAUGAAGGAGUUCAUUACUUCGAAUCUAUGACGGAGGGUUAUGGAAUGCCUGCUCAGAUGGAGCAUUAUGCAUGUAUGGUGGACUUGUUUGGACGAGCUGGUCGUUUGAAUGAAGUCUUUGAGACCAUAAAAAGCAUGCCAUUUCCGGCAGAUGCAGGAGUUUGGGGACACUGCUUGGAGCUUGCAGAGUUCACAGAAAUAUCGAGCUUGCCAAAGUUGCUUCGGCUGAAGGAAGUCACCCACAGUCUGGGCAGGUCUACUCCUUGCUGAAGUUGCUUCUCGAGGAGUUGAAGAGAGAGAAGGCUAUAUUCCACAGCCCUUACCUUCCAAUGCACCCACAGACGUUGAGAGUGUCUGCCCAUCAUCUCUCCUGUCCCGAUAGCUAAAUUUCACCACCACAGAAUGUAGCAAAAAAGAUCCUUGGACAUUCGUGGUUGCAAACAGGAGAGUCCAGGACUGUUUGAACUCUGAAUCACUAAAGGAAUCUCUUCAGAUGCCGCAUUCUCAUAUUGUACUCCAUUGAUUCUCUUCUAAGGGUGCAGUACUCUGCUGAAUCGAUGUGGACAAGUGACGUCUGAUUAGGACCUAAACCUGUUCUCACUUCUCAUAAAGGAGGUGGUGUUGUCAAUCUGAUGAUGGAUCAUUGAAAUCAGUUUUUUGGUGAUGAUUUCGAGAAGGAUCCGGUCUCCAUAUUGCGAUGUCUAGUCAAGGCUUCUUCCUUCUCCCAUCUUCUCAUAAGACGGUGUCUCUCCCCGAAGGUUCAUGGGUUGUUUUCGCAUCAUUUCUAAACAAUGCAGGAACAAACGAACAUCAAAGAUCAGGUUGAAAUCAAUAAAGCCAGAGUCAUGCUUGAUUGCAGCAUGGAGAAAACCCUAUGACCAGAGUGGACAAGACAGGGAGGAGGCGCAACAUACAAAAUUGCCAGCCCCCUCUUUACAUAUACAUUUAAACUCUUUCGAAACGUGAAAUAUUACGUUUGCGGUUUGACGACGAUGACGCUGAUGCAACAAUCAAUUUCUCAUGCAUCCAAACGCAACUCGGAAAACGGAGGAGAUUCUAUGGCAUUUGCGUUGCGACAGCUGCGGCAAAUGAGCGUUUUUGCCACCGCAGCUGUUGCAAGUCUUCAGCAAGACAAUCACAUCUUCAGAUGCUCACCUCUGUUCUUGGAAGUGAAGAAGAAGCCAAAAAGGCACUGAUCUAUAGUUACAGCAAUGGCUUUUCUGGCUUUGCAGCCAAGCUUUCACCACCCAUGGCAGAGAUGAUCAUGGCGGAAGAAGUGGUCGAGGUCGAAGUUGGAACCGUGGUCGUGGUCGUGGUUUUGGAAGAAACUUUGGAGGAAGGUACGAUAAAUCUUGGAUUCAAUGUCAUAUUUGCAAGAAAUUUGGUCAUUAUUUCUAUGAAUGUUAGCAUAAUCCCGAUAAUGAUCGGGGAGAGAAAGUCAAUAUAGUCAACAAAGAAGACGGUGAUACAGAAGAAGUGUUGAUGUUAUCACAACCGGUGAAAAUCAAAGACAUGAUACCAGAGGAAGCUUGGAGCUUACGAAAGCCGAAGGUUGAUCAUCUCAGAAUCUUCGGGUGUGUGGCAUAUGCAAAAGUGCAGGAAGGAAAAAGGCGAACAAAGCUUGAGGAUCAAGGUUAGAAAUGCAUAUUUUUGGGUUAUGGUGAAAAUUGCAGGGGAUUGUAUAAUCUCGACACUCGCAAAAUCAUAAUGUCUUGAGAUGUUGAGUUUGAUGAGGAGAAGAGUUGGGAUUGGAAUGGUAGCAAUCAAUCGCAGAGGAUCAUUCUUGACGAAGUUACCAGGAAGAAGAGGCGGAUAAAGACCAAAGAUACAUUUCAAUCUUUUCGGAAGAAGCUCGGAGUCCAAGUUCGAGGAGGAACAAGUUUAAGGGGGAUAAUGUUGGAGUAUAAACUUGUUUUGGUGUCCUAGAAGUUUGUGUUCAUCUAGAGUCUUGUGUUCCUAGAAUUCUACAACUUAGACUAAAUUAAUAUUGUAUGAUUAUGAAGAGUUGGUAGAAUCUUCCUAAGGCUAGUAUAUAUAUAUGUGUCAUUUGAAGUUUGUAAUAAUAACAAAAACACAAGAAAAGAAAUAAAAAGAAGUGUUUGAGUUUUUUUUUUCUCUUCUCUUCACAUUAUCUAUUACCAUUUCUGGAAACAACAAAGAAAAGAUUCUGAAUUUAAUAUUAGCUGAAAGUAAUUGAAACUGUAUUUUAAUUUUCAUGAAAAGGUACCUCUCAACAAGGUUCUUGAUGGAUGUGGCAUCAACUCUACCUUGUGAAGCAAUUGGAUACUUGGUCACUGGCAAACCGAAUCUGAGCAUCUCUUGCUCGCUCCUUGGAUUGCUCAGAUUUUGGCGAAUCCGACGUGUCAAGCAUCUCUUCACAAGGCUCGCGAAGGACAUAAGGUUCAGCUACCUCUGGGUCCGUUGCCUCCGUCUUCUAUCCGUGAGUGGCAAGAGAUGCUUCUUACUCAGAAUUGCCAUAUAAAUAAACAUAACAUCUUAAAUACUGCCGCAUUAUAUAAAAAAAAACGUCUUAAAUACCGCAGUAUAGAUACGAAUUGAAACUCUUAAUACAUGGAACGAGUCUUUCGGUAAGAUACAUCUCAGCCAUUUACUGGUCUAUCACCACAAUGACCACUGUGGGCUAUGGAGAUCUGCAUGCAGUCAACACCAUGGAGAUGAUGAUAUUCAUCAUAUUCUACAUGCUCUUCAAUCUCGGCCUCACUGCUUACCUUAUAGGUUGCAUGACUAACUUGGUUGUGGAAGGGGGACUGUCGUACCAUGGAAUUCGUGAGUCUCCUUUCACUGCUUUUGUAAUAUUUCAGAAAUUUUCCUCCUUUUUUCCUGGAUGUGCUGUAUUGGGUCGGUUUCCGAAAAGGGUAUUUUUGUAAUUACGGAUUCAAAAACAGUGCGAUGUGAAACUUGUG
This is a long non-coding RNA of Tarenaya hassleriana, 3516 nucleotides long. RefSeq lists it as uncharacterized. NCBI's taxonomy places the organism in Eukaryota, Viridiplantae, Streptophyta, Magnoliopsida, Brassicales, Cleomaceae. The record is from RefSeq and is a predicted model, not a curated record. The transcript has 10 exons.